RNAcentral lists this ribosomal RNA (497 nucleotides) under uncultured bacterium. RNAcentral's name for it is "partial 16S ribosomal RNA". It matches the Rfam family "Bacterial small subunit ribosomal RNA", at positions 28 to 507 of the family's 1533-position model. The record is from RNAcentral.
GAUGAACGCUGGCGGCGUGCCUAAUACAUGCAAGUCGAGCGAACAGAUGAGGAGCUUGCUCCUCUGACGUUAGCGGCGGACGGGUGAGUAACACGUGGAUAACCUACCUAUAAGACUGGGAUAACUACGGGAAACCGGAGCUAAUACCGGAUAAUAUAUUGAACCGCAUGGUUCAAUAGUGAAACACGGUUUUGCUGUCACUUAUAGAUGGAUCCGCGCCGCAUUAGCUAGUUGGUAAGGUAACGGCUUACCAAGGCAACGAUGCGUAGCCGACCUGAGAGGGUGAUCGGCCACACUGGAACUGAGACACGGUCCAGACUCCUACGGGAGGCAGCAGUAGGGAAUCUUCCGCAAUGGGCGAAAGCCUGACGGAGCAACGCCGCGUGAGUGAUGAAGGUCUUCGGAUCGUAAAACGCUGUUAUUAGGGAAGAACAAAUGUGUAAGUAACUAUGCACGUCUUGACGGUACCUAAUCAGAAAGCCACGGCUAACUACGUG